GCGACACUAGCUCAGCUGGUAGAGCGCAACCUAGCCAAGGUUGAGGUCACGCCUUAAGCCUUGAAGAUAGCGAACCUCCUGUAUCGCU
Molecule: transfer RNA, 88 nt
Filed under: Vibrio fortis
Lineage: Bacteria; Pseudomonadati; Pseudomonadota; Gammaproteobacteria; Vibrionales; Vibrionaceae
Description: tRNA-Gly
Source: RNAcentral